GAUGAAGAACGUAGCGAAAUGCGAUACUUGGUGUGAAUUGCAGAAUCCCGUGAACCAUCGAGUCUUUGAACGCAAGUUGCGCCCGAAGCCAUUAGGCCGAGGGCACGUCUGCCUGGGCGUCACACAACGUUGCCCCCCCAAACCUCGACUUCCAAGAGGACGGGGGGCGGAUGCUGGCCUCCCGUGCGCCACGGCUCGCGGUUGGCCCAAAUGCGAGUACUCGGCGACGAGCGCCGCGGCAAUCGGUGGUUGUCCAACCCUCGGUGCCAUGCUGCGCGCGCUAGCCGCUCACUGUUACUCGACGACCCCAAUGCGUCGUAGCCACGACGCUCACAACGCGACCCCAGGUCAGGCGGGGCUACCCGCUGAGUUUAAGCAUAUCAAUAAGC
RNAcentral lists this unclassified non-coding RNA (389 nucleotides) under soil metagenome. RNAcentral's name for it is "partial contains 5.8S ribosomal RNA, internal transcribed spacer 2, and large subunit ribosomal RNA". The stretch from base 1 to 122 matches the Rfam family "5.8S ribosomal RNA", at positions 35 to 154 of the family's 154-position model. The record is from RNAcentral.